CUACGGGUUGCACCAGUGGGGAAUAUUGGACAAUGGGGGCAACCCUGAUCCAGCAAUGCCGCGUGUGUGAAGAAGGCCUGCGGGUUGUAAAGCACUUUCAGUAGGGAAGAAAAGCUCGGGGUUAAUACCCCCGGGUCUUGACGUUACCUAAAGAAGAAGCACCGGCUAACUCCGUGCCAGCAGCCGCGGUAAUACGGAGGGUGCGAGCGUUAAUCGGAAUUACUGGGCGUAAAGCGCGCGUAGGCGGCUAGAUCAGUCGGGUGUGAAAGCCCCGGGCUUAGCCUGGGAACUGCAUCCGAUACUGUCUAGCUUGAGUACAGGAGAGGAGAGUGGAAUUCCACAUGUAGCGGUGAAAUGCGUAGAUAUGUGGAGGAACACCAAUGGCGAAGGCAGCUCUCUGGCCUGAUACUGACGCUGAGGUGCGAAAGCGUGGGGAGCAAACAGGAUUAGAUACCCCAGUAGUC
Molecule: ribosomal RNA, 464 nt
Filed under: uncultured bacterium
Lineage: Bacteria
Description: partial 16S ribosomal RNA
Rfam family: Bacterial small subunit ribosomal RNA
Source: RNAcentral